CAAAGUUGGACACUUAACCAACUGAGCCACCCAGGCGACCCGGCCAUACUUUUCUAUGAUUCUCACUCCCCUUAUUGUCAUCACUACUGUUACUCUAUUGUUACCUAUCAUGUAUGGUCACUGUGGCUUUCAUACUCUUCUUUAAACACUUCAAAGCCAAUAAUACAUUCACUGCUUCUUCAGACUGGGUAGCCUUUCCCCAGAAGGCUGCAUGAAUGUGUGUGACUGCAUGCUGGAUGCUUAUUAACAUUCAGGCAUCUGGCCACAUGUCACCGCCUUGUCUAAACUAGCCACCCCGUCAUCCUCUACCCCUUUAGUCAGUUUUAUGCCCUCCCCAGAGCCAUUUCUAUCAGGAAGUAUACUAUUUGCCAAUUUGUUUCCUUGUUCAUUAUUUGUUUUUUCCUACUAAGCUGUCACCCCAUGAAAACAGAGCCCUAGUCUGCCUGGGGACGGCUGCAUGUCACAGAGUAGGUGCUCAGGAAAUACUCAUUGAAUGGAGAAGUGUAUUUGUUUUUGUUUUGUUUUGUUUUGUUUUGUUUUGUGUUGCUUUGCUUUUCCAGACAAAGGGCAUGGGAGACAGUACACCUCAGUCUCUUUAGCUUGGGAUCGUGUUGAAUUUUGUCUUCUUCAUUGCACACCAGUUGACUGGCACAGGAUUCUAAUAUUUAAGUGCCACUCCCCUGCAUGUGCAUAAUGGAGAUAAUAAAGGUACUCAUUUCAUGGAGUUUUUAAGGGCACUAAAGGAGAAAUGUACACAAAAUACCUCUCACCAUAGCAGACAUGUAGGUAGCUAGUGUCCAGGAAAUGCUUGCUAUUAUAGUUAGUCACUCACACAACAUGGAGGGGACUUCCUGAGUCUCAGUUUCUCCUCAGUGUCCAAGGCAGGUAGUAAUCCCUGCCCUACUUAUUUCACAGGGCGAUAUGAGGAUCAAAAGACAGCACGGAAUUUGAAAACAGUAGAGUGUUGUGAGAAUAUUGUGAUUCUUUCUUGCUAUGCCCAAGAAAGACCCCCUUUAAUUAAAAGAACCUGGAAAGCAGUAUGUCCUGUAGGCAAACAGACCUGGAGCUGUCCUGGGUGGAACAGACCACCCUAGGCUCAGAUCUCCACUCUAGUAUUUACCGGCUGUGUGGUUUUGGGCAAAUCACAAGCCCCUCUGAUCCUCAUCUUCAUUGUUACUGCUGUUCAUUCUGUAAAGUGAUGAUAACACCUAUUUCAUGGGGUUGCUGUGGGGAUUACAUGGAAGGGAAUACACGAAGACCCACUUUUGCAUUUUUCACAGAAGUGGGUAUUUAAUAAAUGAUACCUAUUAAUAUUAUAUUUGUAUGAAAAGGAUUGGCAAGCCGUGAUUUAGAACAUUCUCUUUCCAAUUUCCCAUCAUCAAAAUAAUCACACUUCUCACAUCCUCACUGGCAGAUUUCACAGCUAGUGCGUUCAGGAAAAGUUAUUUAUUUGAAUAACAAAUUCUUUGCCCAAUUCCCCAAACUGCACAUUCCAGCAGGGUUAUUAUAGGUGGACAGAGUGGGGUGGAUUGAGGAGAUGUGGUGAUGGGGGUCAGAGAGCUAGCACGUGUGGGGCCCUUGCUGUGUUCCGGGCACUCCUUCAUUCAUCCUCGUCUUACAGAUAAGAAAGCAGAAGCCCAGACAGGCUAGGUAACUUGCUCAAGGCCACACAGCUAUCAGAGGCAGAGGCCAGAUCUGAGUCAGCAGCCUGAUUUCAGAAUUUGUUGGUGUUAGUGCUCAAAUGGAACAGAGGUAUUUGGGGAUAGCUCUUUGCUUGAGCUUGCCUCAGGCCUCUAAUGUGUCACUUUUCAUGGGUAUAGGUUCCUUGCUCACAGUGUGUGCUUGACUAAUGCAUUCUGAAUGAAUGAAGAAUCAGCGAAUAAACACAGGAACACACGUAGUCUUCUGAAGACCCCUGUAAACAAGCCAUUCAGUAUGCCAUGAGACUAUACACUUUAUAAGUGUGUAAGAGUGUGCUGUGCACAAGACUGUAAGGGAUCGUAAAGAGAACCUAUCAUUCACUUUCAGCCCAGAACUCUAGGUAAUGCUCAAUCUGAGCAUCUAUUCUUGGCAUAUGUUUCCUUCUGUUAAUUAUAUUAAUAUAUGUGGAAGGCUGGCUAGCCCCCACCAAACCUAGACUGUAUUUCCCAGCUCCUUUUGCAUCAAAGUGUGCUCUGACAUGGAUUCUUGCCCACAGACUGUGACUGGAAUGAUGAAUGGCACUUUCUGGUUGUGGUGAUUGAGACGUAGGUGUGUGCCUUCUCCCUCCUUUCAUUUUCCUCAUCUGCUGGCUGAAGGCAGGGGAUCCAGAAGCCCCAGAGGGUGAGGACAGAGCCACAAUGUGGAAGGAGCCUGGAUCCCUGGAAAACUACACACCAACUACCAACAAUUGGUGUUGGAUGUUCUCAUGAGCCACACAACUUUUAUUGAGGGAGGCCACUGAAAUUUGGGGAUUUAUGACCGCUUUUCGCAUAAUUUUACUCAAAAGUCCGAUUCCUUCUGAAUGAUCUCAUAUCCUUAUACGCAUUUAGGUAUACAGGUUGGUCUGUUUUAUUGUUGAUAACUUGUGAACGCAUAAUUAAUAAAAAGUAGAGGCAUAAGAAGGAUGCCGCAGAAGUUCCUUCUCCCUCUAAUUAAGGUAUAGAAAUAGUCUUUAUAAUUUACAAAGCAGAUUUACCUGAUUAUCUAGCUCUUAUAAUUUAGUGGUGUAGUUAUUACUAAACAGGGGAGGAAAUUAAAGUCCAGCUAAGGACUUUCCCUCAGGUCACCCAGAUGGCAAUUCAGGGGCUGUGUGGGGACUCAAACCAUGUCUGUCUGGCCAUGUAUCCUCUGCUUUUUUGUCACAAUGCAGUAACAAAUGUGCCAUUCUCCGUGGAUAAGUUCCCUUUCCGUAAAUAUGGUGUGUAAGAUGGCUUUGACAAGCGUCCUGUCCUUUCCUUCUUUACACCUUUGUCUCUGCCAGGGUUUCUUUGGGAUGGAGUACUCAAAGCUUGUGAUUAAAAACAGCUGCAGAAACAAGAGGAAAACAUCUUCUAAAAAUAGGUAGCGCCUUGGAACACAGUGUGCCAGGACUUUUAGGAGGUGGAUGGGGAUGUGCCAUGGAGAGCGGCCACAGGCAGAGCUCUGGUUUUCCGCACAAGGUGACUGUUUCUGUUGUGAGCUGCUCCCCGGAGACUCCGUGAACUCGAUCUUAGGACCAGGGGCAGAAAACUUGGACUUAUCUUUCACUAAGGAAUGUGAACACUUCCUUCAGGAAUUCAAACUGCUUCUAAGGUAGAAGUACAAUGAGAAGACACCCAUCUGCAAACCAGGAAGUGGGCCCGCACCAGACACCAGAUCUGAUGGCACUUGAUCUUGGACUUCCCAGCCUCCAGAACUGUGAGAAGUAAAUGUUUGCUGUGUAA
Molecule: long non-coding RNA, 3404 nt
Organism: Leopardus geoffroyi (Geoffroy's cat)
Lineage: Eukaryota; Metazoa; Chordata; Mammalia; Carnivora; Felidae
Exons: 2
Source: RefSeq, a predicted model, not a curated record